CUCAGGUGGGUCUGGCUCCAAUUUGCAGAUUCCAAACCUGCCUCACAUUUCUCUUAUUUGAUGCAAGAGAGCCAGAGCAUGUUCUUCUCACGGCAAUGGCAGAAAAGUGAAAGUUGGUUACUAUGGAGAUCAUGACAUCAGUCAUCUUGACUAAGCUUAAUGGUCUUGAGGCAACAUUCAGACUAAAAGUUUUGAUACUUAAAGUGGCUCAACCCUGGAGAAUGAGAGCAGAUUGAGAACUGAGGACUGUGGGCUUCAAGCUGCUUCUCUAAUGGAACACAGAGGUGAAAGGCAGUCCCUGCCCACUCGACCAAGGCCACGUGGGGCAGCCCUUUGGGAGGACCGCGCCCCCGGCUAACCAGGCAGAUAACGGGUUGCAAGAAGGUUUUUUGAGUCUGAAAAGCCUGACUGUUAUGCAUCAAAAGUCAAAGUUGAUGCUUCCAAUGACAGAUGCAGAAGAACACAUGGGGACAGCGAGCCCACUGUCUGAGGACCAGGAGGAGGAAAGCCAGAGGGGAAGAAGGAGAAAUCAGUGCAGCGCAGCCCUCUCCUUCCUCUGGCUAAGGCCAGGAAAGUGGAAGGAAGGGGGCAGGAUCCCUACAAAGAUUUUGGAGAAUACAGGAAGGAGACUGCCUCACAAGGGAGACUCUACUGCCACCUUGUCCUGGGAAGAGUCCAGUGGAGAUGGCUGAGGGAACUUCCUGGAUGAGGAAGGAAAUGAGGCAGCAAUGAGCUUCUGAAAGCCCAAAGCAAGGAAAGCGGAGAGGAAGAGAGCACGUAGCUCCAGGGAACACAAGGCCACACUCAGACUGGCCUCAAGGCUGUGAGGAUGGGAUUCUUCUGCAGCAAGCAGUGAGGGCUGCGGGGGCCUGGAUGCCAGGACAAGGGGUGACUUUGCCUGAGGACAAAAGCUGAUGUUCUGAACUCAGGAUUCCUGUGAGGACAGGCACUACCCAAGCAGCAGGUACCUCCCCUCCCAGCCUCCUCCCCGCCUGCCACGAUGCCAUGACAUUCCAUGUCCAUGAGCUCCUGAGAACUUGGAUGUCUUUCCUACCUGCCUAAAAACAUGAAAGAAGAAAUCUCCCAAAUGGACUCAAUGUAAACAUUAAAUGAUUAAAUUUACCCAGAAUUGAUGGAGGUUACUUUUACUCCCAUCAGGUGGAAUAAAGGCUCAAAGCAGAGACUCAGCUCAAUUAGAAAAAAAUAGGAAAAUAAAAGAUGUAUCCUUUUGCACACCUGGUUACUUGUCUUAAAAAUCUGUAUCUGACAUAAAAAAGAGGGUUUGUUGUAUAUCUCUGUACUCUGUAUGUUGCUUAGAUAAAGCAACAUAUUGCCAAGAGAAAUCAUCUUUUUCAAUUCAGGAAUCACAAGUUUUCAUUUUCAAAUUCUAAAACUUUAUGCUUUUUGAUUAAAGAGAUAGUAACUUUACCUUUGACUGAGCAAUACCAUUUCCAGGAAUUUGUUCAAAGGAAAUCAAAACAAAUGUGCUGAAAAAUAAUAAG
RNAcentral lists this long non-coding RNA (1502 nucleotides) under Homo sapiens (human). RNAcentral's name for it is "HSALNT0265165". Lineage: Eukaryota; Metazoa; Chordata; Mammalia; Primates; Hominidae. The record is from RNAcentral.